Betta splendens (Siamese fighting fish) is the source of this 2429-nucleotide long non-coding RNA. RefSeq lists it as uncharacterized. The transcript has 2 exons. NCBI's taxonomy places the organism in Eukaryota, Metazoa, Chordata, Actinopteri, Anabantiformes, Osphronemidae. The record is from RefSeq and is a predicted model, not a curated record.
GUUCUGCGCAGUAUCCUUGCUGUUCCUAGGACUGCACUUUCCUGGGGAAUCAUCGUUCAAUUUUGCCUCUUUUCAUCAGCGUCUGUCAUCAUCAUACUUUAGCGUAGAAACGUAAUUUAAACUUCAUCUUUAUCUUUUCAAGUUGUGAGCGUCUAAAUAUUGUGUGUUUUUUAACACACAAUAUGUUAAAUUUUCAGCUUUUCCAUUAGUGUGUAUUGCAUGAGCUAGAGUGUGAUGUCACAGCUAGAGUGCGAGGGCUCGUUUUUUAAAGACUGAACUUCUGUCUUUAACUCAUCACUACAGCCACAAUUUUCACUCUAGCAAUGUAAUUUUUUCAAUAAAUUGUAGUCAUACUUGUCUUCUUUCUAAUGAUGUGUCUGGCUAUACCAGACAUUUUUUAAGCUAGAAUUGUUUAUUUAACCUGUCACUAUAGCCACAGUUUUCAAUCUAUCAACGUCAUUUUUCUCUCAUUUGUAGUCAUACUUGUCUACUUUUUAAUGACGUGUCUGGCUAAGCCAGAGGCUUGCAACACUGUCUAUCUCUGUCCCUGUAGCUGUUAGCAUCAACUGUUCUAGCCAUUAGCAUUCCUUACACAGGAGGGAAGCUAGAUUAUAAACAAAAAUACUUCUGGAGUACAUACCUAUCAAUCGUGCAUCAAACAUGUACUUACGUUUGGGGAAGCAGCAAGUUAAUUACGUCUUUUAGGACCAGAGCCCUUCUUCAACCUCAAGCCCAGUAAUAAAUAUACCCUUGUUUUCAAAGCAGUUGAAGGUGAAAUGGUGUCCACACACGAACAAACAUUUAGGCAGCGGCGCCGUCACAGGUCCAUUUAAAAUAAAAUGAAAACAUAGAGUUCACCUUUGUUGCUUCGCUGAUAAAAACAAAAGGCUUUGAUGCUAGUUGGCACAACCAACAGACUUUUAAUGUUGACUUUAUUUCUCAAGAACCACCAAUUUAAGACUAGCUGAAAGUGGUUUAUACAAAAGGGAACACCUGGAUACAGUAUAUCUAUAUAAGUAAAUGGGUGGCGUUCAAAGAGUCAACUCUGGAUUAGAAAAUAAUUUGUGUAAAUGUGUAAUAGUAUUAACAUAAUCAAGAUACUGGUAACUAAACAAAAAGAUGAAUGUUGCAACAAUUUGAAAGCCACAGCACUGAUGUAAAAAGCUUGUCAUGCAAAAUCAUGUAUCAAUCAUUGCAUUAUCAAUCAUAACUUCUUAAAGGGCCCAUAUCAUGCAAAAUCCACUUUUUAGACAUUUUGGAGCGUUCCUAUGACUCUAUGGGUCACAUAUACACACACUGAGCACGGUAGAAAUGCAUUUCCUGCUUUUUUCACAUUUUGAAAACGUAAAUUUUCUUAUCCAAUGAAAACAGCCACGACCUACUCUGAGGCCGUUCCCCAGUUCUCGUCACACUGGUUGAAAGUUCUCCUUGCAAAUCCUGAACCACCACCCCCACAAUGAUCCCGAACCAAAACUGGACUUCCGCCAUUUCCCCCCUCUCACUCACCGUGAACAGACCAGCACGGCAGCGCCCAAGUCCUCCCAUAGAAAUAGUUCGGUUCUUGGGUGUUCUAACCAACACCAAAGUCUAUUCAUUUUACCAGGGAACAACAAGUGAGGAUUUGUGGGUCACUUUUAUUUUUAACGGACCGGUGCCAGAAACACUGCCUCAGCAUUUAUACGUAUGUGCAUUUCAAACGAGGGUGCGUACAAUGCUGGAUUUGUUUCACGGCUCCUGUUGGAAAAAAAUGACGUAUUCCUAAAGUCCGUCAUCCACUCACUGAAGAGGGCAAAUCCCAGUUGCCCACAUGCAAGGAGGCUGUCAAACAGAGAAAUCACUGCAGACUGUUGGUACACAGACAUCUGCUGCCCAGCUCAGGAGUAAAGGUAUGUAAGUUUGUAUGUACCAACAGUAAGAUAGGUAAUAGAAGAUUUUAAUUGGUAUAUACUGUUUAGAUUUUAUAUUUGAAUUGUAACAACUGUUUAUCUGUUGUUUUAGCACAGACAGGCCUGUCCUCUUGUUUGGUUUAAUUUUUUGUCUGGUAUUGUGUGUUCCUACAUUAGAGAAGGUUUUGACCUACAUAAUAAUUAACAUUUCACUAAUCUACAAUUCUGAUUGCACUACCUUUUGUUUUGAUGAGGUGAUGGUGAGGACAGCCACAGCUUCCAUCUGGUAGAGGACUGCUUCCGCUCAGUCUUCCAAAUAGUGAUGAGAACAAGGAUCACCACAUCUCCCUGUUUACCCUACUUUCAUGCAUUUCGUCUGCAAGGCCCUGCAAAAGCUUCUCCUUCGUCCUCAAACCCCCAGACUUCUUAAUUAACUCAGUAACCUAUACAUUGCACAUUGGAGUGUGAAGGUAACAGUUUGUUCUAGCUUUGGCGUAGUGGUGUAUUUUUUUUGGUUUACAAUAAAGUUGGCUUUAACUAUUA